AGAGUUUGAUCCUGGCUCAGGACGAACGCUGGCGGCGUGCCUAAUACAUGCAAGUAGAACGCUGAAGGAGGAGCUUGCUUCUCUGGAUGAGUUGCGAACGGGUGAGUAACGCGUAGGUAACCUGCCUGGUAGCGGGGGAUAACUAUUGGAAACGAUAGCUAAUACCGCAUAAGAGUAGAUGUUGCAUGACAUUUGCUUAAAAGGUGCACUUGCAUCACUACCAGAUGGACCUGCGUUGUAUUAGCUAGUUGGUGGGGUAACGGCUCACCAAGGCGACGAUACAUAGCCGACCUGAGAGGGUGAUCGGCCACACUGGGACUGAGACACGGCCCAGACUCCUACGGGAGGCAGCAGUAGGGAAUCUUCGGCAAUGGACGGAAGUCUGACCGAGCAACGCCGCGUGAGUGAAGAAGGUUUUCGGAUCGUAAAGCUCUGUUGUAAGAGAAGAACGAGUGUGAGAGUGGAAAGUUCACACUGUGACGGUAUCUUACCAGAAAGGGACGGCUAACUACGUGCCAGCAGCCGCGGUAAUACGUAGGUCCCGAGCGUUGUCCGGAUUUAUUGGGCGUAAAGCGAGCGCAGGCGGUUAGAUAAGUCUGAAGUUAAAGGCUGUGGCUUAACCAUAGUAGGCUUUGGAAACUGUUUAACUUGAGUGCAAGAGGGGAGAGUGGAAUUCCAUGUGUAGCGGUGAAAUGCGUAGAUAUAUGGAGGAACACCGGUGGCGAAAGCGGCUCUCUGGCUUGUAACUGACGCUGAGGCUCGAAAGCGUGGGGAGCAAACAGGAUUAGAUACCCUGGUAGUCCACGCUGUAAACGAUGAGUGCUAGGUGUUAGACCCUUUCCGGGGUUUAGUGCCGUAGCUAACGCAUUAAGCACUCCGCCUGGGGAGUACGACCGCAAGGUUGAAACUCAAAGGAAUUGACGGGGGCCCGCACAAGCGGUGNAAGAAAGUGAUUUCGGAUGACAGCUUGUGUUCUGCCUUCAAGAACAGUGAUAAUAUUAAGAUUAUCAAAAUCUUGCGCAAUGAAACUCAUCUUUCCCUUAGUGAAGGCAUACUCAUCCCAAGACAUAAUCUUUGGAAGCCGAGAAAAAUCAUGCUCAAAGUGAAAGUCAUUGAGCUUGCGAAUGACAGUUGAAGUUGAAAUGGAAAGCUGAUGGGCAAUAUCAGUCAUAGAAAUUUUUUCAAUUAACUUUUGAGCAAUUUUUUGGUUGAUGAUACGAGGGAUUUGGUGAUUUUUCUUUACCAGGGGAGUCUCAGCAACCAUCAUUUUUGAACAGUGAUAGCACUUGAAACGGCGUUUUCUAAGGAGAAUUCUAGAAGGCAUACCAGUUGUUUCGAGGUAAGGGAUCUUAGACGGUUUUUGAAAGUCAUAUUUCUUCAUUAGACUUCCACAAUCAGGGCAAGAUGGAGCCUCAUAAUCCAGCUUAGCGAUAAUUUCUUUGUGGGUAUCCAUAUUGAUGAUAUCUAGAAUCUUGAUGUUUGGGUCUUUAAUAUCGAGCAGUUUUGUGAUAAAAUGUAAUUGUUCCAUAUGAUUCUUUCUAAUGAGUUGUUUUGUCGCUUUUCAUUAUAGGUCAUAUGGGACUUUUUUUCUACACAAAAUAGGCUCCAUAAUAUCUAUAGUGGAUUUACCCACUACAAAUAUUAUAGAACCACAAAAAACUCUCUUAGUGUGAAUAUGUACUAAGAGAGUUUUUUGUAUAUAAAUUAUCUUCUACAACAAAUUAGAAAGGUAUUUAGCCUUUUCUUUUGAUAUGCCAAAAUUAAGAUUACGAUGACGUUGGAAUAAGGUAUAAAAAGUAAUGAAUGAUAGAAAAUUAUUUAGUAGGUAACUAAUCGGACUUUCUCCGACUGCAGUUAGCUCAACUUUUCGUUUAUCCCCUAAAUCUGAUAUAGUAACUAAGACUUGCCAACAUGUAUAUCUACUUAAACCUGGGUGCUUCAUGUAAUCAAAAAAAUUUCCCUGUCCAGAGUAUGAAAUUUCUUCAGAACUUUGCCGUUCAACACUACCGUUCAAUUGUUUUGUAGCAUUAUACAGUAUUUCUUCUAUCUCAAACUUACUUAAUUCACUAUAAAUUUGAUUUGAUUGUAAAUUAAAUUUUGUCAUUGUAGUAUUCUCCUUUUUGAUUAGUAUUUUUCCAGCUCUCUUUCUAAUUCGAGCUCCUUAAUUCUAUCUUGUAAUAUUGUGUUUGAAUGAUGUAAGCUAUAAAUUUGGUCUUGCAUUCUUUUAGAAUUGUAUUCAUUUGAAUAAUAGUGAAUAGCUUGUUGCAAAUUUGAUGCAAUAUCAGCGUUUAAAAAAUAUUGUAUACCUGAAAUAUGAUUAUAUGUUCUAAAUUCAGUUGGAAUGGAGUAGUACUCUUUUCGCAAAGUAGAUAAUAAUUUUUUCUUUUCUUCCCUAUAUUUUUCUUGAGUCGCAUUUAUUAUUUUAUCGUAUUUUAUUUUUUCUUUAACAAUUCUGAUUUUAUCUGCUACAUAUAGUACUGUAGAUAAAAUCCAAAUGAACAUGAUAAUUUCUGAAGUGUAAAAAAAUAGUGAUACAAUGAACAAGAAAAGAACAAUAGCACCGUAUAUUCGUUUUUUUGUAGUUUCAAAUUUUUCUUUAUGAAGAUUAAAUUCAAGUUCAUUAUAAUAUUCAUCAAAUUUAGAAAUUUUAUCUAUUUCUUCUUCUGCAAUUUUAAGAGUUCGAUGUGCUAACUCUUUGGUAGUUGGUCUAGGAACUGUUUUCUUUUCUUCAAGUUGUUGGGUAGGCAAUUCACUAUUAUCAUCAUACAUUGAUUGAAGGUAGGUUAGAAUAGCAAGCCCUCUAGUAUAAAUAAUUUGAUUACUAAUUCUUACAUAUUCCUCAAAAUCAUCAAUUUCAGAUAAUCGAAUUAAAUAUCCUUCAUCAUCAAAAAAUACAGUUAAGAAGUUAUCGGAUAGAAAUGUUUCAAAAUCUUUAAAUUGGUCAAAAUAUUCCUUUUCAUCUAAAAUUGCUCUUUUAAACUCAUCAUCUGGAGUCAAUGUGCCAUCAUAUAAGUCCCAUAUUACUGAUAGAGUAAGGUCAAAAUAAUCAUUAUAAGGAGACUGUGCUCUUUUAGGA
This 3076-nucleotide ribosomal RNA is filed under the name Streptococcus pneumoniae. RNAcentral describes it as "bacterial SSU rRNA". The stretch from base 1 to 982 matches the Rfam family "Bacterial small subunit ribosomal RNA". Lineage: Bacteria; Bacillati; Bacillota; Bacilli; Lactobacillales; Streptococcaceae. The record is from RNAcentral.